This 783-nucleotide unclassified non-coding RNA is filed under the name Hevea brasiliensis (rubber tree). The record is from RNAcentral. Lineage: Eukaryota; Viridiplantae; Streptophyta; Magnoliopsida; Malpighiales; Euphorbiaceae.
UGGGAGACAGGUAUUUAUCACUAUUCACUCAUAACCCCACUUUCUCAAUAUUAUGCUAAAAAGGCAAAAAUAAUUAUUGAACACUGGGAUGAGGCAAUAUAUGCCUGACAUGAUGAAAGAACAGAAGCAACAUGUCAUAUGGAAAAGAGGACCCACAUAUUAUAGGUACAUUUGCCAAAGCUGUAUGCAACAAUUUUUUUUAUAUUAAAACAAAAAACUUACAGGGGCAGUUGUAUGGAAAAGAGGACCCACUUAUUAUAGGGACAUUUGCAUACAAAAAUUGAAUCCUAUACUGCUAUAGCUCGUACGUACAGCAAUUGAAUCAAUGGUCACCAGUGGCAUAGAAGAGAAGAUAGUGGAAUGGGGACCAUAUAUGCUAUCAUUCCUAGCUACUAUUUUAAAAUUAGGCAUUUCAAUUCUUACAUUACUUUGAAUAUUCGUGUUCUACUAUAUAACAAUUUGGGAAGUAAAAUAUUAACUUUCUAAAUUUCAAAAGUAUAAUCAAAUUUUUAAAAUAUAUUAAAUAAUUUAUUACACUAUGCCUCUACACAUUAGGGCAAUGAACAAACCUAAUAUAUCAAAGUACCUUUUAAAAAUGUUGGAAUUUUAUCUAAUUGACUAAAAAGUAAAAAAGAAAAGAAUUUGAGUAUCAAAUGAGGAAAUAUCCAGUUUAGAAGAAAAAAGCAAUUAGAUGACCACAUCUUCAACUACUUGGCUAGAAUUGCAAGGAAAUUGAAGAGAUAGCUGAGCUCUAAUCAAACAAAACAUAGAUGUGUUUAAUAG